GACGAACGCUGGCGGCGUGCCUAAUACAUGAAGUUGAGCGCUGAAGGUUGGUACUUGUACCGACUGGAUGAGCAGCGAACGGGUGAGUAACGCGUGGGGAAUCUGCCUUUGAGCGGGGGACAACAUUUGGAAACGAAUGCUAAUACCGCAUAAAAACUUUAAACACAAGUUUUAAGUUUGAAAGAUGCAAUUGCAUCACUCAAAGAUGAUCCCGCGUUGUAUUAGCUAGUUGGUGAGGUAAAGGCUCACCAAGGCGAUGAUACAUAGCCGACCUGAGAGGGUGAUCGGCCACAUUGGGACUGAGACACGGCCCAAACUCCUACGGGAGGCAGCAGUAGGGAAUCUUCGGCAAUGGACGAAAGUCUGACCGAGCAACGCCGCGUGAGUGAAGAAGGUUUUCGGAUCGUAAAACUCUGUUGGUAGAGAAGAACGUUGGUGAGAGUGGAAAGCUCAUCAAGUGACGGUAACUACCCAGAAAGGGACGGCUAACUACGUG
RNAcentral lists this ribosomal RNA (496 nucleotides) under uncultured bacterium. RNAcentral's name for it is "partial 16S ribosomal RNA". It matches the Rfam family "Bacterial small subunit ribosomal RNA", at positions 28 to 507 of the family's 1533-position model. The record is from RNAcentral.